RNAcentral lists this ribosomal RNA (472 nucleotides) under uncultured bacterium. RNAcentral's name for it is "bacterial SSU rRNA". It matches the Rfam family "Bacterial small subunit ribosomal RNA", at positions 355 to 825 of the family's 1533-position model. The record is from RNAcentral.
UCGGGAAUUUUGGGCAAUGGGCGCAAGCCUGAUCCAGCCAUGCCGCGUGCGGGAAGAAGGCCUUCGGGUUGUAAACCGCUUUUGUCAGGGAAGAAACGCUCUGGGCUAAUACCCCGGGGUAAUGACGGUACCUGAAGAAGAAGCACCGGCUAACUACGUGCCAGCAGCCGCGGUAAUACGUAGGGUGCAGGCGUUAAUCGGAAUUACUGGGCGUAAAGCGUGCGCAGGCGGCUCCUUAAGUCAGAUGUGAAAUCCCCGGGCUUAACCUGGGAACUGCGUUUGAAACUGAGGGGCUAGAGUGUGGAAGAGGGGGGUGGAAUUCCAGGUGUAGCAGUGAAAUGCGUAGAGAUCUGGAGGAACACCGAUGGCGAAGGCAGCCCCCUGGGCUAACACUGACGCUCAUGCACGAAAGCGUGGGGAGCAAACAGGAUUAGAUACCCACGUAGUCCCUGAGCGGGCUGGCAAGGCGCAU